RNAcentral lists this ribosomal RNA (468 nucleotides) under uncultured bacterium. Its description in RNAcentral is "partial 16S ribosomal RNA". It matches the Rfam family "Bacterial small subunit ribosomal RNA", at positions 28 to 507 of the family's 1533-position model. The record is from RNAcentral.
GAUGAACGCUGGCGGCGUGCUUAACACAUGCAAGUCGAACGGUGAAGCCGGAGCUUGCUCUGCUGGAUCAGUGGCGAACGGGUGAGUAACACGUGAGCAAUCUGCCCCUGACUCUGGGAUAAGCUCUGGAAACGGCGUCUAAUACUGGAUACGAGCUGCUAAGGCAUCUUCAGCAGCUGGAAAUAAUUUCGGUCAGGGAUGAGCUCGCGGCUUAUCAGCUUGUUGGUGGGGUAAUGGCUCACCAAGGCGUCGACGGGUAGCCGGCCUGAGAGGGUGACCGGCCACACUGGGACUGAGACACGGACCAGACUCCUACGGGAGGCAGCAGUGGGGAAUAUUGCACAAUGGGCGAAAGCCUGAUGCAGCAACGCCGCGUGAGGGACGACGGCCUUCGGGUUGUAAACCUCUUUUGGCUGGGAAGAAGCGAAAGUGACGGUACCUGCAGAAAAAGCGCCGGCUAACUACGUG